This 250-nucleotide ribosomal RNA is filed under the name uncultured bacterium. RNAcentral describes it as "partial 16S ribosomal RNA". It matches the Rfam family "Bacterial small subunit ribosomal RNA", at positions 524 to 773 of the family's 1533-position model. The record is from RNAcentral.
UACGGAGGGUGCGAGCGUUAUCCGGAAUUACUGGGUUUAAAGGGUGCGUAGGCGGCGUAUUAAGUCAGGAGUGAAAGUUUGCGGCUCAACCGUAAAAUUGCUUUUGAUACUGGUAUGCUAGAAUUAGGAUGAGGUCAGCGGAAUGUGGCAUGUAGCGGUGAAAUGCAUAGAUAUGCCAUAGAACACCAAUUGCGAAGGCAGCUGGCUAGACCUGGAUUGACGCUGAGGCACGAAAGCGUGGGGAGCGAAC